This 562-nucleotide long non-coding RNA is filed under the name Mus pahari (shrew mouse). RNAcentral's name for it is "lncRNA (MGP_PahariEiJ_G0006214.1)". The record is from RNAcentral. Lineage: Eukaryota; Metazoa; Chordata; Mammalia; Rodentia; Muridae.
UCUUCCUGUGUGCAGACAGGCGGCAGAGGCCGGGCGGCCUCUGCUGUGCGUUACUGCAUGACGGUUGGUUGGCGCGGUGGUCCUGGUGGUUGGGACACUCUGCUUUGCAUCAUGGAGCGUAGGUAAUGCUGCUGUCCAGCCUGGCUCACUGCCCGCCACCGUGAAACAGCCAUCACCCGAGAUGCCCCCGACUUGGCUCAAGGCUGUCAUCUUCCUCUGCGGCAGCAUGGGUGGUCUGCUUGUGUUCUUUGGCCUGCUUUGGUCCAUCCAGAAAAGGACAAAGAAGUCAAGCCAGGGGGACUUCUACCGACUCUCCAGAGACCUGUACCGCCUUGCUGUGGAGUGUCCUGUGAAGGAGACCUAUAGGCCUCCCAAGGAGGCUGCCAUUCCCACUUAUGAGGAGACCAUGUACUACCCACUGGCUGAGGGUCCCCUGCAAUUUCCUGUGCAGCCUGAAGAAGACCUCCAAUGCCACACCCCAGAGGGUGCCCAGCUGGGGUCGACAUCCUUCUCACCCCCGCCCAGCUACAAGAGCAUCCUCCUCGCUCAGGGGCCUGUUUCU